RNAcentral lists this ribosomal RNA (497 nucleotides) under uncultured bacterium. RNAcentral's name for it is "partial 16S ribosomal RNA". It matches the Rfam family "Bacterial small subunit ribosomal RNA", at positions 28 to 507 of the family's 1533-position model. The record is from RNAcentral.
GAUGAACGCUGGCGGCGUGCCUAAUACAUGCAAGUCGAGCGAACAGACGAGGAGCUUGCUCCUCUGACGUUAGCGGCGGACGGGUGAGUAACACGUGGAUAACCUACCUAUAAGACUGGGAUAACUUCGGGAAACCGGAGCUCAUACCGGAUAAUAUAUUGAACCGCAUGGUUCAAUAGUGAAAGCCGGUUUUGCUGUCACUUAUAGAUGGAUCCGCGCCGCAUUAGCUAGUUGGUAAGGUAACGGCUUACCAAGGCAACGAUGCGUAGCAGACCUGAGAGGGUGAUCAGCCACACUGGAACUGAGACACGGCCCAGACUCCUACGGGAGGCAGCAGUGGGGAAUCUUCCGCAAUGGGCGAAAGCCUGACGGAGCAACGCCGCGUGAGUGAUGAAGGUCUUCGGAUCGUAAAACUCUGUUGUUAGGAAAGAAAAAAUGUGUAAGAAACUAUGCACGUCUUGACGGUACCGAAAGAGAAAGCCCCGGCUAACUACGUG